Molecule: transfer RNA, 89 nt
Filed under: Hypsizygus marmoreus
Lineage: Eukaryota; Fungi; Basidiomycota; Agaricomycetes; Agaricales; Lyophyllaceae
Rfam family: tRNA
About the family: Transfer RNA (tRNA) molecules are approximately 80 nucleotides in length. Their secondary structure includes four short double-helical elements and three loops (D, anti-codon, and T loops). Further hydrogen bonds mediate the characteristic L-shaped molecular structure. tRNAs have two regions of fundamental functional importance: the anti-codon, which is responsible for specific mRNA codon recognition, and the 3' end, to which the tRNAs corresponding amino acid is attached (by aminoacyl-tRNA synthetases). tRNAs cope with the degeneracy of the genetic code in two manners: having more than one tRNA (with a specific anti-codon) for a particular amino acid; and 'wobble' base-pairing, i.e. permitting non-standard base-pairing at the 3rd anti-codon position.
Source: Rfam by way of RNAcentral
GGGCUCUUGGCGCAGGGGUAGCGCGCACGCUUCGCAUCUAGGUUCAGAACGUAAUUGCGUGAGGUCGUGGGUUCAAUUCUCAGUGUCCA